CUAGUAACGGCGAGUGAAGCGGGAACAGCUCAAAUUUGAAAUCUGGCCUUCGGGUCCGAAUUGUAAUUUGCAGAGGAUGCUUUUGGUUAGGUACUUUCCGAGUUCCCUGGAACGGGACGCCUUAGAGGGUGAGAGCCCCGUACGGUUGGAUACCGAGCCUUUGUAAAGCUCCUUCGACGAGUCGAGUAGUUUGGGAAUGCUGCUCUAAAUGGGAGGUAAAUUUCUUCUAAAGCUAAAUACCGGCCAGAGACCGAUAGCGCACAAGUAGAGUGAUCGAAAGAUGAAAAGCACUUUGAAAAGAGGGUUAAAUAGCACGUGAAAUUGUUGAAAGGGAAGCGUUUAUGACCAGACUUUUUCCAGGCGGAUCAUCCGGUGUUCUCACCGGUGCACUUCGUCUGGUGGAGGCCAGCAUCGGUUUUCGUAGAGGGAUAAAAGCUUUAGGAAUGUGGUUCCUCCGGGAAUGUUAUAGCCUAUUGUAUAAUACCUUUAUGGGGACCGAGGUUCGCGCAUCUGCAAGGAUGCUGGCGUAAUGGUCAUCAACGACCCGUCUUGAAACACGGACCAAGGAGUCGAACAUUUGUGCAAGUGUUUGGGUGUUAAACCCUCACGCGUAAUGAAAGUGAACGGAGGUGAGAGCCCUUACGGGUGCAUCAUCGACCGAUCCUGAUGUUUUCGGAUGGAUUUGAGUAAGAGCAUAACUGUUCGGACCCGAAAGAUGGUGAACUAUGCGUGGAUAGGGUGAAGCCAGAGGAAACUCUGGUGGAGGCUCGCAGCGGUUCUGACGUGCAAAUCGAUCGUCAAAUCUGCGCAUGGGGGCGAAAGACUAAUCGAACC
RNAcentral lists this ribosomal RNA (834 nucleotides) under Beltraniella pseudoportoricensis. Its description in RNAcentral is "partial 28S ribosomal RNA". It matches the Rfam family "Eukaryotic large subunit ribosomal RNA", at positions 80 to 941 of the family's 3401-position model. Lineage: Eukaryota; Fungi; Ascomycota; Sordariomycetes; Amphisphaeriales; Beltraniaceae. The record is from RNAcentral.